This 1728-nucleotide long non-coding RNA is filed under the name Mus pahari (shrew mouse). Its description in RNAcentral is "lncRNA (MGP_PahariEiJ_G0004167.1)". The record is from RNAcentral. Lineage: Eukaryota; Metazoa; Chordata; Mammalia; Rodentia; Muridae.
AGCAAGGACCACGCCUCUGCUGGGAGCCUGGUGUGCUAGCAGACACUCCGCAGUACCUCCUGCCUGUGAGCCCGUGCUGCACAGUCCCUGGGGCUUGGUCAGAUGUCCUGUGCCACCUAGACCCUCCUCCGUACACAGGAGUGAUUCGACAAAACACAAUAAAAAAGAGAGUCCAACGCCAGGUUGCUACGGGCCUGACGGGUGACCAACAGAAACUCGAUGGCUUCCGGUGCACGUGCGGGUGGAGAAAGAUUCAGCUUCCCUUGGAGGGACGGCCACUAGGAAGCUGGCCAUGCUCCAGUUUUAUAGCAGCCAGUGGUAGCAGGAAGCACACAGAAGCAAAGACACCCAACCCAAGAGCCUCUCUCUACUUUACGAUCUCUCUUUUCUUUUUCUUUUGAGACAGCAUCUCAAGUAUCCCAGGCUGGCCUCACACUCUCUGUGUAGCUGAGAAUAAACCUGAACUUCUGGUCCUCUUGCCCUACCUUCCAAGUGCUGGGAUUACAGGUUUGAGCUAUUAUUCAGGUUUCUAUAGUAUGGGGAAUUGAAUCCAGAGUCUCAUGCAUGCUAGGCAAGCACUGUACCAACUGAGCUACAAACAAAGCCCUCUGUCUCAAUUUUUUUGUGCAAAAGAGAUGUAAGAAACUGAGUUUGAAGACAGAUGUAUCUGCUAGAGGUCUUGUGAGAGCUACAUUGUUGCUGUGGUAUGAGUGUUUGUGUCCCUUCAAAACUCCUCAUAUGAGGUAAAUUUGCAUAAUACCAUUGAAAGGGUAAGGGAACCUAAUUAGUGGAUUGUUUGUCCUAGAUUCAGCCUCAACUACAUACUAAGUUCAAGCACCAGUCAAAAGCAAGAAAGCAGUGGGCUCUUUGGGCAGCUUGGGAUUGGCGUCUUUGCUUGCUUGAAUAUGAAAUGGCAACCUUUGCUGGUGGUGUUAUUUUGGAAGGUUCUGGAAACUUUAGGAUUGGGGACUAGUUGAAGGAAGCUGGUCGUUCAGACUGGACCUUUGGAGGUUCAUACUUGGUUUUUGGUGUCUUCCUUUCUACUUUUGGUUCUGGAGAAGGUGUAGCCUCUGGAACCCAGAGCGGCCAAUGUCUUUUGCUUGCAGCAGCUAGUUUAUGAUACUUUGUAUCUGGAAUAGACUGAGACUCGGGCUAAACCAGGGAGAUUUUCCUGCCCUCUCCCCCAACACUGGGCCUCAUUUAAAGGACACUAAUCCCAUCUCUCAGUGGAGAUGCCAGGCUAAUGGCUCUUUACUUUAAUAAGUUCUUUCAAUGUUGUUUCUCAACAAAGUCACCAGGGCUUGGAAAGGGAGUUUGACAGUACAGUUCUGGCCAGAGUUGGAACAUGUAUGCCACAUAGACCCAGAGCUUCACAUCAGAUUCUAGCCAGUUCAAAAGUGAUGACCCAGAAUAAGUUAGCACCUUAACAUGCCUUCUAGACUCUGCCCAACAGUUACCCAGCAACAGCCAGGUAAACCUUGCUUACUCUAAAAAGGACUGUUUGGUCUCUCCCUUGCCCUCUCUCUCUGACUCUCUUCUCUCUCUGACCCUGUUCUCCCUCUCUCCCUUCCCCUCACCCCCUCUCCACAUUCCCAUUCCCAGACAGCCUCUUCCCUUCUUUUAUUCUCUUUUUCUCUUUCUCUGUCCUUCUCUAUCCUCUCUCUUUCUCUGCCUCCACCCCCUUUACAACUCCCCUUCCCUACCCCUAAAUAAACUCUAUUUUAUAUU